AUGAGACAGAAGAUCUUCUUUCUAAAGAGAUUCGAUUCGGAACUUUUAUAUGUCCAAGGUCAAUAUGGAAAUUCUUUCAGAUAUUUUCCCUUACUUUGUUGA
RNAcentral lists this ribosomal RNA (102 nucleotides) under Triticum aestivum (bread wheat). RNAcentral's name for it is "partial small subunit ribosomal RNA". Lineage: Eukaryota; Viridiplantae; Streptophyta; Magnoliopsida; Poales; Poaceae. The record is from RNAcentral.